This is a long non-coding RNA of Megalobrama amblycephala (Wuchang bream), 678 nucleotides long. RefSeq lists it as uncharacterized. NCBI's taxonomy places the organism in Eukaryota, Metazoa, Chordata, Actinopteri, Cypriniformes, Xenocyprididae. The transcript is spliced from 3 exons. The record is from RefSeq and is a predicted model, not a curated record.
CUUUCAGUAGCAUGAGUGAAGGGGCGGGGCGAGUCACCCCAUGCGUUCGCUAUCGCGAGGUGAUUGGCUCAUCACGCACACGCCCAGAGAACGUCACGCCCCCUGUCUAGCUCGCUGUCGCUGUACAUGUGAUGUAGGCAUUUCAGGAAAUGGAAGCAAUUCAGUGAUGGGAACAGAAAUAUUUAACUCUCACUCUAAAGCAAGCAACAAAUGUCAAAAGCAUGUUCUUAAACCUCAAAUGUAGGCAAUGCACAAUAAAAUUGUGCUUUUUUACUAACUUUUUUGCACUCUGCAAUCUGUUUACUUAGUAGUUGAUAUGCAUAAGAGUUAUAAGAGUCCUUGUCCGACUCCAGACUAUCACAGAAGGGUUAUCUACUUUGAAUGGCAAAGUGAAAUUAGGCUUCUAUUAUUUGGAGAGUGCUGGAACGUGGAGACUGUGCAGUUGCAUUAACAAGAAACUCCUGUCACGAGAGGCUCUGAAGAGAGGGAGACAGACAGAGAAAGAGGGGAGAGGGUCCCAACUUGGUGUGAUUGACAUUUCCUGUCUGUGAGGUCGUUUUAGGCCUUAAGGUGUUGAUGCUACUUGAGAAAUGGGAUGGAGUCAAGCCCUGAGUCAGACUGACAUUAGACAGACACUACACUCAUAAUAUUCAUCCUAUAAAAGUCUUCCAUUUUGAA